AGUUAAUAUGAACUAGGAGUCUUCCUAAGCAGCAAUCCCAUCAGAAAAGUCCUUGAGUGGAAGAACAGCUGGACUCAGGGAUUCUACGUGUCAGCAUCCGACUCCUUGCUAGAUGCGAACAACCCAGCCAUGAAGCUCUAGGGGCUGCAGCCGUCCUGGAAGAAUGCCCGAUACACUGCUUAAUAAACACACGUUCGGCCUUCUGCAAAGAAAACACCCGAUUCUCUGAGCUACACCUGCAGAACCUCGGGCCUUUCUGCACCUGCCCAGCUCUGCAGAGUAGACGGCAGUUCCUGGCAGCUUACCAGGGCCACCGGAAGGGCUGGCUAAAACCCAGAUGGAAUUUCUGCCCCAGCAGCUCUGGUGGGAAGAAGGACUGGCUCUGCUGUUGAUCCCAGG
This 399-nucleotide long non-coding RNA is filed under the name Ictidomys tridecemlineatus (thirteen-lined ground squirrel). Its description in RNAcentral is "lncRNA (ENSSTOG00000029583.1)". Lineage: Eukaryota; Metazoa; Chordata; Mammalia; Rodentia; Sciuridae. The record is from RNAcentral.